Molecule: small nucleolar RNA, 70 nt
Organism: Polyodon spathula (Mississippi paddlefish)
Lineage: Eukaryota; Metazoa; Chordata; Actinopteri; Acipenseriformes; Polyodontidae
Product: small nucleolar RNA SNORD50
Exons: 1
Source: RefSeq, a predicted model, not a curated record
GAACCAUGAUGAGUCAAUCCCAAACCUGACCUGUUCUGAUGAGGCAUAUUAUGGAUCUGACUGCUGAGUU